GGGGCUGUAGUAUAGCCUGGUUAGUAUUCCAGGUUUGGGACCUGGCGACCCAAGUUCAAAUCUUGGCAGCCCCA
This 74-nucleotide transfer RNA is filed under the name Nanobdellota archaeon. RNAcentral describes it as "tRNA-Pro". It matches the Rfam family "tRNA". Rfam says of the family: Transfer RNA (tRNA) molecules are approximately 80 nucleotides in length. Their secondary structure includes four short double-helical elements and three loops (D, anti-codon, and T loops). The record is from RNAcentral. Lineage: Archaea; Nanobdellati; Nanobdellota.